GUCCACGCUGUAAACGAUGAGUGCUAAGUGUUAGAGGGUUUCCGCCCUUUAGUGCUGCAGCUAACGCAUUAAGCACUCCGCCUGGGGAGUACGGCCGCAAGGCUGAAACUCAAAGGAAUUGACGGGGACCCCGCACAAGCGGUGGAGCAUGUGGUUUAAUUCGAAGCAACGCGAAGAACCUUACCAGGUCUUGACAUCCUCUGACACUCCUAGAGAUAGGACGUUCCCCUUCGGGGGACAGAGUGACAGGUGGUGCAUGGUUGUCGU
RNAcentral lists this ribosomal RNA (267 nucleotides) under uncultured bacterium. Its description in RNAcentral is "partial 16S ribosomal RNA". It matches the Rfam family "Bacterial small subunit ribosomal RNA", at positions 793 to 1055 of the family's 1533-position model. The record is from RNAcentral.